GGGGGUAUAGCUCAGUUGGUAGAGCGCCUGCUUUGCACGCAGGAAGUCAGCGGUUCGAGUCCGCUUACCUCCA
This 73-nucleotide transfer RNA is filed under the name Phormidium cf. tergestinum Drak. RNAcentral describes it as "tRNA-Ala". It matches the Rfam family "tRNA". Rfam says of the family: Transfer RNA (tRNA) molecules are approximately 80 nucleotides in length. Their secondary structure includes four short double-helical elements and three loops (D, anti-codon, and T loops). RNAcentral also lists the same sequence under 1 other name. The record is from RNAcentral. Lineage: Bacteria; Bacillati; Cyanobacteriota; Cyanophyceae; Oscillatoriales; Oscillatoriaceae.